RNAcentral lists this transfer RNA (71 nucleotides) under Melinis minutiflora. Its description in RNAcentral is "tRNA-Gln". It matches the Rfam family "tRNA". From Rfam's summary of the family: Transfer RNA (tRNA) molecules are approximately 80 nucleotides in length. Their secondary structure includes four short double-helical elements and three loops (D, anti-codon, and T loops). Further hydrogen bonds mediate the characteristic L-shaped molecular structure. tRNAs have two regions of fundamental functional importance: the anti-codon, which is responsible for specific mRNA codon recognition, and the 3' end, to which the tRNAs corresponding amino acid is attached (by aminoacyl-tRNA synthetases). tRNAs cope with the degeneracy of the genetic code in two manners: having more than one tRNA (with a specific anti-codon) for a particular amino acid; and 'wobble' base-pairing, i.e. permitting non-standard base-pairing at the 3rd anti-codon position. Lineage: Eukaryota; Viridiplantae; Streptophyta; Magnoliopsida; Poales; Poaceae. The record is from RNAcentral.
GGGCGUGGCCAAGCGGUAAGGCAGCGGGUUUUGGUCCCGUUACUCGGAGGUUCGAAUCCUUCCGUCCCAGA